Long non-coding RNA from Bombyx mori (domestic silkworm), 188 nucleotides. RefSeq lists it as uncharacterized. Lineage: Eukaryota; Metazoa; Arthropoda; Insecta; Lepidoptera; Bombycidae. The transcript is spliced from 2 exons. The record is from RefSeq and is a predicted model, not a curated record.
AUUCGAAACAAGGCAAUAGGGUAGACCAAAAUACCACAUCCUGAAAUUCAAAAUUCAAGUACGUUAUGGCACUGGAUAUGGAUGAAGAAUUAGGAAGCGGAAUUAAAUUAUAAUUUGGAAUAUUUGCAUACUUCAAAUACCUUUUACAUAGAGAACAAGAUCGUCAGCAAAAAAUAAAUGUUUAACAG